CUUCAGCGAUGUCAGUGCAGCAACACUCAACACCGCAGCUACUUCCAUAUCAGGAUCAGCUCAAGCUGGUAAUUAGAACAUCAGACCGAACCACUUCCAGGAGUGUGGAACGCAGUGUGCCUGCAGCUGUGCGGGGUGGUCUCACAAUCUCACCAAAAGGAAGAAUUAAUGUUUUUAUUCAGCCCACGAGGACCCCAAGGC
Molecule: long non-coding RNA, 201 nt
Organism: Neopelma chrysocephalum (saffron-crested tyrant-manakin)
Lineage: Eukaryota; Metazoa; Chordata; Aves; Passeriformes; Pipridae
Exons: 3
Source: RefSeq, a predicted model, not a curated record